CUGCUGCCUUCCGUAGGAGUUUGGUCCGUGUCUCAGUACCAAUGUGGGGGGUUGACCUCUCAGUCCCCCUAUGUAUCGUCGCCUUGGUGAGCCGUUACCUCACCAACUAGCUAAUACAACGCAUGUCCAUCUCUGACCACCUGAGUUUUCAACCACCGAAGAUGCCUCCGGUGAUGUUAGGGGGUAUUAGUACCAAUUUCUCGAUGUUAUCCCCCUGUCAAAGGUAGGUUACAUACGCGUUACGCACCCGUCCGCCGGUCGCCGGCA
RNAcentral lists this ribosomal RNA (267 nucleotides) under uncultured bacterium. RNAcentral's name for it is "partial 16S ribosomal RNA". The record is from RNAcentral.